Molecule: long non-coding RNA, 1037 nt
Organism: Tympanuchus pallidicinctus (lesser prairie-chicken)
Lineage: Eukaryota; Metazoa; Chordata; Aves; Galliformes; Phasianidae
Exons: 4
Source: RefSeq, a predicted model, not a curated record
UUAUUUUAAUUUGCAGUAUUGUUUUUUGCUUUCUGGUACUGAGAGCAGAGGAAUGGAAGGCUUUUGAGCUGGUAGAACAUGCUUCUGAAUUAUGGUUGCUCAUGCUUUUGUUGUUCAGCUUUGUGGGCUAUCCCUGCGCUCUUUAUUUGCAUUUUGGAUUGGGAGUACAUGUAAAAGUUUCUGCUUGCUUGAAGGUGGCUCAGGAUCUCACUAACUGAAUGAGCAGUGCAACUGUAGGAAGAACUUUACAUGAAGGCAAAGUAUAAAACCCUAACAAAGAACUGGACAGGAGCUGGUCUGCUGAGAAACCUGGUGAGGUGUUUCAAGCCUGUGUGCCAGGAGUGCAGAGCUCUGUUUGCUGCAACUCUCCCCUCAAUGGCAGAAGCUUCGUUUAUGGAUGCUGUGCUACAGAGGAAGGCUUUGACACUUGUGCUGCUACUUUGGCCUUGGAGACUUCUGACACAGCCCAAUUUCCUGAGCAGAGACCUGUUUGCAGGGCCUUGGCAGGGUUUGAAAGGCACUGCUGCUGCUCUCGUGUUGCAGGUUCAGCCUGGGUUUCAAGAGGAUGCAAGAGGCUUCAAGAGGCUUUGUGGUUUCCUGAAGGGAAAGUGACAGGUGCCACAUUUCUUUGUGCAAGUCUCUAACUGUGUCAUGGCAUUCCAGUACUUACCCCAAGAUGAGUGAUGAUUGUACUAAUUAAGAACUGAAGUGGAAGGAUAUGAGAAGGAUGCAGUAUGGGGUGUUUUCUAAUAAAACUGAACUACUUUAGCAGCAGCUGAUGCUGCUUUUCUCAUGGCAGCCUUUAUUUCCCUUGUAAAACCUAGAACAUCCUUUCCAAAGCAGCUCUGGUGCUGAGAGGAGCACUUGAAGCUAAGGCUUGCUCUGCACUGCAUUUUGCUCUCUGUAUCCUACAGAAAUAGAAGUUUGGGCUUUCUAGACUCGUGUCCUUUGUUCCUCUGUGGUUUGCUGCAUGCUUUUGAAUUUGUUACCUUGUCAUAACUGUAUUUACUGGGCGUCAUUCUGCACUGUUACAGCAU